Molecule: ribosomal RNA, 383 nt
Filed under: uncultured bacterium
Lineage: Bacteria
Description: bacterial SSU rRNA
Rfam family: Bacterial small subunit ribosomal RNA
Source: RNAcentral
GAUGAACGCUGGCGGCGCGCCUAACACAUGCAAGUCGAACGGAGCUAUCUUAUUAGAUCCCUUCGGGGUGAAGAUUUUUUAACUUAGUGGCGAACGGGUGAGUAACGCGUGAGUAACCUGCCUUCAAGAGGGGGACAACAGUUGGAAACGACUGCUAAUACCGCAUAAUAUAUCGAGAUCGCAUGAUAUUGAUAUCAAAGGAGCAAUCCGCUUGAAGAUGGACUCGCGUCUGAUUAGAUAGUUGGUGAGGUAACGGCUCACCAAGUCUACGAUCAGUAGCCGGACUGAGAGGUCGAUCGGCCACAUUGGGACUGAGACACGGCCCAGACUCCUACGGGAGGCAGCAGUGGGGAUAUUGGUCAAUGGGGGAAACCCUGAACCAG